CAGAAGUGAGGAUGAGACAGUAUACAGGAGAAUGGCCAGUGCUAAAGCCCAGAGACAAGAUAUGGAAUGAGGUGUGUGAGAAACAUCCAUAUGGCUAGUUUAUCUGGACUAUAGAUCACAGGAAGGGAAGAAAUGUAUACUAGAAGAUAAUAAUGGGCCCAUGUGUUGCAGACAUUGCCCUUUGGAUACAGAAUUAUCAGUAUAGACAGGCAUUGGAAGAAGUUGGGGAAGAAGAUGACUUCCCUUGAGAUUUUCCCAGCAUGGGUUUUCUGCUCGAAAAUAUGGAACA
Molecule: non-coding RNA, 289 nt
Organism: Phascolarctos cinereus (koala)
Lineage: Eukaryota; Metazoa; Chordata; Mammalia; Diprotodontia; Phascolarctidae
Source: RefSeq, a predicted model, not a curated record